UACGAAGGGGGCGAGCGUUGUUCGGAUUUACUGGGCGUAAAGGGCGCGCAGGCGGCUCAUUUUGUCAGGCGUGAAAGCCCCGGGCUUAACCUGGGAACUGCGUUUGAUACGGAUGGGCUAGAGUUUGGGAGAGGGAUGCGGAAUUCCAGGUGUAGCGGUGAAAUGCGUAGAUAUCUGGAGGAACACCGGUGGCGAAGGCGGCAUCCUGGACCAACACUGACACUGAGGAGCGAAAGCCAGGGGAGCAAACGGG
Molecule: ribosomal RNA, 253 nt
Filed under: uncultured bacterium
Lineage: Bacteria
Description: partial 16S ribosomal RNA
Rfam family: Bacterial small subunit ribosomal RNA
Source: RNAcentral